Non-coding RNA from Zootermopsis nevadensis, 73 nucleotides. Lineage: Eukaryota; Metazoa; Arthropoda; Insecta; Blattodea; Termopsidae. The record is from Rfam.
GCCACGGUGGUCUAGCGGUUAGAACGCUGGCCUUGUAAUCCUGGGGUCUCGGGUUUGAUUCCCGGCGGUGCCC